CCUACGGGUGGCAGCAGUGGGGAAUAUUGGACAAUGGGCGCAAGCCUGAUCCAGCAAUGCCGCGUGGGUGAAGAAGGUCUUCGGAUUGUAAAGCCCUUUCGGCGGGGACGAUGAUGACGGUACCCGCAGAAGAAGCCCCGGCUAACUUCGUGCCAGCAGCCGCGGUAAUACGAAGGGGGCUAGCGUUGCUCGGAAUGACUGGGCGUAAAGGGCGCGUAGGCGGUUUGCAAAGUCGGACGUGAAAUUCCCGGGCUCAACCUGGGGGCUGCGUUCGAUACUUGUAGACUGGAGUCCGGAAGAGGAUGGUGGAAUUCCCAGUGUAGAGGUGAAAUUCGUAGAUAUUGGGAAGAACACCGGUGGCGAAGGCGGCCAUCUGGUCCGGUACUGACGCUGAGGCGCGAAAGCGUGGGGAGCAAACAGGAUUAGAUACCCGAGUAGUC
Molecule: ribosomal RNA, 440 nt
Filed under: uncultured bacterium
Lineage: Bacteria
Description: bacterial SSU rRNA
Rfam family: Bacterial small subunit ribosomal RNA
Source: RNAcentral